This 71-nucleotide transfer RNA is filed under the name Marmota monax (woodchuck). Its description in RNAcentral is "tRNA.Ala". It matches the Rfam family "tRNA". Rfam says of the family: Transfer RNA (tRNA) molecules are approximately 80 nucleotides in length. Their secondary structure includes four short double-helical elements and three loops (D, anti-codon, and T loops). The record is from RNAcentral. Lineage: Eukaryota; Metazoa; Chordata; Mammalia; Rodentia; Sciuridae.
GGGGUUGUGGCUCAGUGGUAGAGCACUUGCCUAGCAUGUGGGGGGCCCUGAGUUCAAUCCUCAGUACCACA